GACGAACGCCGGCGGCGUGCCUAAUACAUGCAAGUCGAACGAGAGCGACCGGUGCUUGCACUGGUCAAUCUAGUGGCGAACGGGUGAGUAACACGUGGGUAACCUGCCCAUCAGAGGGGGAUAACAUCCGGAAACGGAUGCUAAAACCGCAUAGGUCUUCGAGCCGCAUGGCUUGAAGAGGAAAAGAGGCGCAAGCUUCUGCUGAUGGAUGGACCCGCGGUGCAUUAGCUAGUUGGUGAGGUAACGGCUCACCAAGGCCGUGAUGCAUAGCCGACCUGAGAGGGUGAUCGGCCACAUUGGGACUGAGACACGGCCCAAACUCCUACGGGAGGCAGCAGUAGGGAAUCUUCCGCAAUGGACGCAAGUCUGACGGAGCAACGCCGCGUGAGUGAAGAAGGUUUUCGGAUCGUAAAACUCUGUUGUUAGAGAAGAACAAGUGCUAGAGUAACUGUUAGCGCCUUGACGGUAUCUAACCAGAAAGCCACGGCUAACUACGUG
This 498-nucleotide ribosomal RNA is filed under the name uncultured bacterium. RNAcentral's name for it is "partial 16S ribosomal RNA". It matches the Rfam family "Bacterial small subunit ribosomal RNA", at positions 28 to 507 of the family's 1533-position model. The record is from RNAcentral.